GGGUAGGUGGCCGAGUGGCUAAAGGCGGCAGACUGUAAAUCUGUUCUCAUACGAGUACGAUGGUUCGAAUCCAUCCCUGCCCACCA
Molecule: transfer RNA, 86 nt
Filed under: Clostridium sp. CAG:452
Lineage: Bacteria; Bacillati; Bacillota; Clostridia; Eubacteriales; Clostridiaceae
Also listed under: 3 other names
Description: transfer RNA-Tyr(GTA)
Rfam family: tRNA
About the family: Transfer RNA (tRNA) molecules are approximately 80 nucleotides in length. Their secondary structure includes four short double-helical elements and three loops (D, anti-codon, and T loops). Further hydrogen bonds mediate the characteristic L-shaped molecular structure. tRNAs have two regions of fundamental functional importance: the anti-codon, which is responsible for specific mRNA codon recognition, and the 3' end, to which the tRNAs corresponding amino acid is attached (by aminoacyl-tRNA synthetases). tRNAs cope with the degeneracy of the genetic code in two manners: having more than one tRNA (with a specific anti-codon) for a particular amino acid; and 'wobble' base-pairing, i.e. permitting non-standard base-pairing at the 3rd anti-codon position.
Source: RNAcentral